AGUGAACGCUGGCGGUGGGCCUAACACAUGCAAGUCGAACGGCAGCACAGGAGAGCUUGCUCUCUGGGUGGCGAGUGGCGGACGGGUGAGGAAUACAUCGGACUCUACUUUUUCGUGGGGGAUAACGUAGGGAAACUUACGCUAAUACCGCAUACGACCUACGGGUGAAAGCAGGGGACCUUCGGGCCUUGCGCGAUUGAAUGAGCCGAUGUCGGAUUAGCUAGGUGGCGGGGUAAAGGCCCACCAAGGCGACGAUCCGUAGCUGGUCGGAUAGGAUGAUCGGCCACACUGGAACAGAGACACGGUCCAGACUCCUGCGGGAGGGAGCAGUGGGGAAUAUUGGGCGAUGGGCGCAAGGCUGAUCCAGCCAUACCGCGUGGGUGAAGAAGGCCUUCGGGUUGUAAAGCCCUUUUGUUGGGAAAGAAAUCCAGCUGGCUAAUACCCGGUUGGGAUGACGGUACCCAAAGAAUAAGCACCGGCUAACUUCGUGCCAGCAGCCGCGGUAA
This 506-nucleotide ribosomal RNA is filed under the name uncultured bacterium. RNAcentral describes it as "partial 16S ribosomal RNA". It matches the Rfam family "Bacterial small subunit ribosomal RNA", at positions 29 to 523 of the family's 1533-position model. The record is from RNAcentral.